Molecule: long non-coding RNA, 246 nt
Filed under: Sus scrofa (pig)
Lineage: Eukaryota; Metazoa; Chordata; Mammalia; Artiodactyla; Suidae
Description: lncRNA (ENSSSCG00065058284.1)
Source: RNAcentral
AUGCUCUUGUUCUUGCACCAGAUACAUAUUCAAAGCCCCCAAAUAGGUAUUUGCCUAUUGCGGUGAUCCCCAUAAAUUCGUAAAGCCUUCUGGCUUUCCUGAGUCUACAGCACCCCCAGCCUGCACAGGCUCCUUCUGUGAAGAAUGAUAAUCAACGUUCUACAAAUCACUAGCACGAGAUCCCAGAAGGAACACAGCCCAGUGGAAGACGAUAACGGUGAGGCCCAGUGUGCGUGUGAGCAAGUC